Molecule: ribosomal RNA, 393 nt
Filed under: uncultured bacterium
Lineage: Bacteria
Description: bacterial SSU rRNA
Rfam family: Bacterial small subunit ribosomal RNA
Source: RNAcentral
AUUGAACGCUGGCGGCAUGCCUAACACAUGCAAGUCGAACGGUAACAGGGGCUUCGGCCCGCUGACGAGUGGCGGACGGGUGAGUAACGCGUAGGAAUCUUCCCAGUAGCGGGGGAUAGCUCGGCGAAAGCCGGAUUAAUACCGCAUACGCCCUACGGGGAAAGGACGAGGGAGUCGCAAGACCUUGCACUAUUGGUGAGCCUACGUCUGAUUAGCUAGUUGGUAGGGUAAAGACCUACCAAGGCGACGAUCAGUAGCUGGUCUGAGAGGACGAUCAGCCACACUGGGACUGAGACACGGCCCAGACUCCUACGGGAGGCAGCAGUGGGGAAUAUUGGACAAUGGGCGCAAGCCUGAUCCAGCAAUGCCGCGUGUGUGAAGAAGGCCUGCGGG